RNAcentral lists this long non-coding RNA (612 nucleotides) under Callithrix jacchus (white-tufted-ear marmoset). RNAcentral describes it as "lncRNA (ENSCJAG00000076529.1)". Lineage: Eukaryota; Metazoa; Chordata; Mammalia; Primates; Cebidae. The record is from RNAcentral.
UGCAGGUUUGGAGGUUUGCAGGCCGUGAGAACAAGUGAAAAACCCUUAAUGUGAAAGCUUGACUGACUUGAUUGAGGAGCAACAAAGAGAGUUCAGGGGCUGGAGAAGAGUGGACUAAAGUCAGGGAGGCAAAGGCUGUUGGAGAUUUGACAGAUCAUUUGGUGCUUACAGAAUUAGACACUGAGUGGGUGAAAUGGGAAUCCAGUGGAGGUUUUUUAGAGAAGGAAUGGCCCAAAUUUGACUUCGAUUUUAAGAAGAUUGUCCUGACUGGUGUAUUGUAGCCAGAUUACAGAGAGGCAAAGAUGGAAGCAGGAGAUCAGCUUGCAGGCUGCUGGAGUAAUCAGAUGCAGUAAGACAAAGGAUGAUGAAGAAUGAAGGGACGGGGGAUGAAAAGGGCAAGGUGGAAAUUCAGGUGAUUGUGAAGUCAAUGGCGAUGAAUGAAAAAACAAGAAUAUGCUUUAAACUAGGAUUCAUCAUAGGGUCACAAAAUUAAAUGGCUAUAUGAGUUAGCCAGGCAAUGAAAAUCAGUGAAAUGGUCCAGAUGGAAGACGACAAUGAGGAAUGUGGCCUGGAAAUCAGAUGGCCAGAAGAGAGGUGGCAGCUCCACCUUGA